Molecule: non-coding RNA, 75 nt
Filed under: unclassified sequences
Source: RNAcentral
CGAGCUGUAUUAAAGAGAUAGUUUCUCCUAGCGUCUUGUGACUCUUCGUCAAAACUUCUAUUUUGCCUUUGCUCG